RNAcentral lists this transfer RNA (79 nucleotides) under Fonticula alba. It matches the Rfam family "tRNA". From Rfam's summary of the family: Transfer RNA (tRNA) molecules are approximately 80 nucleotides in length. Their secondary structure includes four short double-helical elements and three loops (D, anti-codon, and T loops). The record is from Rfam by way of RNAcentral. Lineage: Eukaryota; Rotosphaerida; Fonticulaceae.
GGUUGGAUGGCCGAGUGGUUAAGGCGCCAGUUUUAGGCACUGGUGGGAAACCGCGUGGGUUCGAACCCCACUCCAGCCA